GAUGAACGCUGACAGAAUGCUUAACACAUGCAAGUCGAUGGGGAAGUGGUGCUUGCACCAUGGUAACCAUGGCGGACGGGUGAGUAACGCGUAAGGAACUUACCUGCGGGACCGGGAUAACAGCAGGAAACUGCUGACAAGACCGGACAAGGUCAUUAAGCUGCCUCGCUUAGCGAUGAAAGGAGACGCCUGCGGAGAGCCUUGCGUCCUAUUAGCUAGUUGGAGGGGUAACGGGCCACCAAGCCGAAGAUAGGUAGCCGGCCUGAGAGGGUGGGCGGCCACGAGGGGACUGAGAUACAGCCGUUACGCCUACGGGAGGAUGCAGUGGAGAAUAUUGGACAAUGGGGGCAACCCUGAUCAAGCAAUUCUGUGUGCACGAAGACGGUUUUCGGAAUGUAAAGUGCUUUCAGCAGGGAAGAAGGAAGUGACGGUACCUGCAGAAGAAGCGACGGCUAAAUACGUG
This 463-nucleotide ribosomal RNA is filed under the name uncultured bacterium. RNAcentral's name for it is "partial 16S ribosomal RNA". It matches the Rfam family "Bacterial small subunit ribosomal RNA", at positions 28 to 507 of the family's 1533-position model. The record is from RNAcentral.